Molecule: ribosomal RNA, 328 nt
Filed under: uncultured eukaryote
Lineage: Eukaryota
Description: partial 18S ribosomal RNA
Rfam family: Eukaryotic small subunit ribosomal RNA
Source: RNAcentral
CCCUUAGAUGUCCUGGGCCGCACGCGCGUUACACUGAUGCAUUCAACGAGCUUAUAACCUUGGCCGAGAGGCCUGGGCAAUCUUGUUAACGUGCAUCGUGAUAGGGAUAGAUUAUUGAAAUUAUUAAUCUUGAACGAGGAAUUCCUAGUAAACGCAGAUCAUCAAUCUGCAUUGAUUACGUCCCUGCCCUUUGUACACACCGCCCGUCGCACUUACCGAUUGGAUGGUCCGGUGAAGCCUCGGGAUUGUGGUUCUUGCCGCUUUAUUGUGGCGUGACCGCGAGAACUUGUCUAAACCUUAUCAUCUAGAGGAAGGUGAAGUCGUAACA